RNAcentral lists this long non-coding RNA (339 nucleotides) under Capsella grandiflora. RNAcentral describes it as "long non-coding RNA (CGRA_LNC001080)". Lineage: Eukaryota; Viridiplantae; Streptophyta; Magnoliopsida; Brassicales; Brassicaceae. The record is from RNAcentral.
CUUGUGUGAUCAAGUUUUUUUGUUCGUCAGUGUGACGUGUGUGUGAAGUCUGCUCCAGAGACUUGGAGUAUUGAAGUCUAGGCUCAGGGGGAGUUUAGCCCAAGGUUAGGUUAUCUUGGUUAAAUCUAGACUCAGGGGGAGUUUAGUUAAGGAUAGAGAUUUAUCCUUAAGGUUUCAUGUUAUAGUUCAGAGCGGUAGUUCAAGAGGUGUGUGCUUGAUUUACGCGUUUCCAAAUUUGUUGUAUUUGCUUUCUUGUUCGAGUGAAAUCGAAAUCUGGACUUGGUCCCGAGGAGUAGGAAAAACCAAACCUCGUUAACAAACUUUGUAUCUCAUUUAUUU